RNAcentral lists this transfer RNA (112 nucleotides) under Catenulispora acidiphila DSM 44928. Its description in RNAcentral is "tRNA-Und (NNN) (tRNA-Und-NNN-4-1)". The record is from RNAcentral. Lineage: Bacteria; Bacillati; Actinomycetota; Actinomycetes; Catenulisporales; Catenulisporaceae.
GACGAGAAUCAGGCGGCGCCAGCGAUCUUUCGCAGCCGUCGCAACAGCACUCGACAAAACUCGAAAGCGUGUGAGGUGCAAGCCUCCGUGGGUUCAAAUCCCACCGUCACCA